Molecule: long non-coding RNA, 199 nt
Filed under: Olea europaea (common olive)
Lineage: Eukaryota; Viridiplantae; Streptophyta; Magnoliopsida; Lamiales; Oleaceae
Description: long non-coding RNA (OEUR_LNC010474)
Source: RNAcentral
GGACGUAUUAGAGCUAUAUUUGACAAAUGAAAGAGUAUGGGAAGGCAUUGAGUAGAUUUUUCAGUUAUUUUACUUAAAGCUGUGGUUGAACUUUAUUUUGGAGAUGUUCUAAUAAUUUAACUUCUUCUCCAUCUUUCUUUUCUUCACUUCGGUUUGUGUACUAAUGACCGUUGGAAUCAAGAGAAGGCAGCAAACUCAC